RNAcentral lists this ribosomal RNA (441 nucleotides) under uncultured bacterium. RNAcentral's name for it is "partial 16S ribosomal RNA". It matches the Rfam family "Bacterial small subunit ribosomal RNA", at positions 339 to 795 of the family's 1533-position model. The record is from RNAcentral.
CUACGGGACGCUCCAGUAGGGAAUAUUGCUUAAUGGGCGAAAGCCUGAAGCAGCAACGCCGCGUGUACGAUGAAGGCCUUCGGGUUGUAAAGUACUUUUUGCAGGGAUGAGGAAGGACAGUACCUGCAGAAUAAGCCUCGGCUAACUACGUGGCCAGCAGCCGCGGUAAAACGUAGGAGGCGAGCGUUAUCCGGAUUUACUGGGCGUAAAGCGCGUGUAGGCGGAUUGGUAAGUUAGCUGUGAAAGCUCCCGGCUUAACUGGGAGAGGUCGGUUAAUACUGUCAGUCUAGAGUAUGUGAGAGGGAAGUGGAAUUCCGGGUGUAGUGGUGAAAUGCGUAGAUAUCCGGAGGAACACCAGAGGCGAAAGCGGCUUCCUGGCACAUAACUGACGCUCAGACGCGAAAGCUAGGGGAGCGAACGGGAUUAGAUACCCGAGUAGUC